ACUGAAUAGAUACCCCGGUAGUCCAUGCCGUAAACUAUGGAUACUAGCUGUUGGGGGUAUCGACCCCUCCAGUAGCGAAAGCUAAACGCGUUAAGUAUCCCGCCUGUGGAGUACGAUCGCAAGAUUAAAACAUAAAGGAAUUGACGGGGACCCGCACAAGCGGUGGAGCGUGUUCUUUAAAUUCGAUGCUAAACGAAGAACCUUACCAGGGCUUGACAUCCCUUGAAUUACUCCGAAAGGAGUGAGUGCUUUAUUGAGCAAGGUGACAGGUGAUGCAUGGCCGUCGUCAGCUCGUGUCGUGAGAUGUUUGGUUAAGUCCAUCAACGAGCGCAACCCUUAUACUUAGUUGUAUUUUUCUAGGUAGACUGCCCCGGUAACGGGGAGGAAGGGGGGAGU
Molecule: ribosomal RNA, 396 nt
Filed under: uncultured bacterium
Lineage: Bacteria
Description: bacterial SSU rRNA
Rfam family: Bacterial small subunit ribosomal RNA
Source: RNAcentral